Molecule: ribosomal RNA, 1332 nt
Filed under: Stichophthalma howqua
Lineage: Eukaryota; Metazoa; Arthropoda; Insecta; Lepidoptera; Nymphalidae
Description: large subunit ribosomal RNA
Rfam family: Archaeal large subunit ribosomal RNA (bases 1081-1239)
Source: RNAcentral
GGGGGGAAAUUAAUAAAGUAUAAAUAAUAAAAAAAAUUUUAAAUUAAAAAUAUGAUAAUGGGGGUUAAAGUAUUUUUAAUUAAAAUAAUAAAAAAAUUUAUAGAAAAUUAUGUAUUGUAGAAGAAAUUUGAAAUAAUAUUAAAAAAUAAAUUAAUAAAAAGAAAAUUUAGUUUAUUGUAUCUUGUGUAUCAGAGUUUAUUAAAUAAAAUUUUUAUGUAAAAAAAUCUCGAAUUUUAAAGAACUAAUUAAUUAUAAAAAUUAAUGUAGUAUAAUUAUUUUUAAUAAUUAAUUAGAAAUGAAAUGUUAAUCGUUUUAAAAAAUAUCUAGUUAUUUUGGAAAAAAAUUUAAUUUUAAAUUUAAAUUAUUUUAUAAUUAAUUAAAUUAAAAUUAUAAAAAAAAUUAAAUUUUAUAUUUUGGGGGAUAAGCUUUAAAUUAAAAAUUUAUAAUUUAAAAAAAUAAAAAUAAAAUUUUUAAAAUUUAAAUUGUUUAUAAAUUAAAAUUUAUUAUAAAAAAUUUUGUUAAAUAAAAAAAUUUAAUUAGAAAAAUUUAAUUUUAUAUAAAAUAAUAAUUUUUAAUAAAAUAAAAUUAAAAAUAAUGAUAAAAUUAGUAUAAUUAUAAUUUAAAUAAUGUAAAUAAGUAAUAAAUUAAUUAAAAGGAAUUCGGCAAAAUUAAUUAUUCACUUGUUUAUCAAAAACAUGUCUUUUUGAAAAUAAUUUAAAGUCUAAUCUGCCCACUGAUAAAUAUUAAAGGGCUGCAGUAUAUUGACUGUACAAAGGUAGCAUAAUCAAUAGUUUUUUAAUUGGAAACUUGAAUGAAAGAUUUAAUGAAAUAAUAACUGUCUUUAAGUUAUUCUUAAAAUUUUAUUUUUUAGUGAAAAAGCUAAAAUAAAUUUAAAAGACGAGAAGACCCUAUAGAGUUUUAUAUUUAAUUUAUUUUUAUUAUAUAUAAAUUAAUAUAAAAAAUAAAUAAAAUAUUAUAUUGGGGUGAUAGAAAAAUUUAAUUAACUUUUUUUAAAUUAUAAACAUUAAUAAAUGAUUUUUUGAUCCAUAAAUAAUGAUUAAAAGAAAAAAUUACCUUAGGGAUAACAGCGUAAUAUUAUUUUUUAGUUCAAAUAAAAAAUAAAGUUUGCGACCUCGAUGUUGGAUUAAGAUAAAAUUUAAAUGCAAAAGUUUAAAAGUUUGAUCUGUUCGAUCAUUAAAAUCUUACAUGAUCUGAGUUCAAACCGGCGUGAGCCAGGUUGGUUUCUAUCUUUAGAAAAAUAAAAUAUUUUAGUACGAAAGGAUUAAAUAUUUAAAAUAAUUUUAAUUAAAAGAAUUUUAAUAAUAAUAGGUU